CAAGGGGUAGUUUAAUUGAAUGUUGGCUUUGGGGGUCAACGGUGGGGGUUUAAAUCCCCCCCUCUUGA
Molecule: transfer RNA, 68 nt
Filed under: Leiopelma archeyi (Coromandel frog)
Lineage: Eukaryota; Metazoa; Chordata; Amphibia; Anura; Leiopelmatidae
Description: tRNA-Pro
Rfam family: tRNA
About the family: Transfer RNA (tRNA) molecules are approximately 80 nucleotides in length. Their secondary structure includes four short double-helical elements and three loops (D, anti-codon, and T loops). Further hydrogen bonds mediate the characteristic L-shaped molecular structure. tRNAs have two regions of fundamental functional importance: the anti-codon, which is responsible for specific mRNA codon recognition, and the 3' end, to which the tRNAs corresponding amino acid is attached (by aminoacyl-tRNA synthetases). tRNAs cope with the degeneracy of the genetic code in two manners: having more than one tRNA (with a specific anti-codon) for a particular amino acid; and 'wobble' base-pairing, i.e. permitting non-standard base-pairing at the 3rd anti-codon position.
Source: RNAcentral